This 508-nucleotide ribosomal RNA is filed under the name uncultured soil bacterium. RNAcentral describes it as "bacterial SSU rRNA". It matches the Rfam family "Bacterial small subunit ribosomal RNA", at positions 26 to 530 of the family's 1533-position model. The record is from RNAcentral.
AGGACGAACGCUGGCGGCGCGCUUAACACAUGCAAGUCGAGCGGUAAGGCCUUUCGGGGUACACGAGCGGCGAACGGGUGAGUAACACGUGGGUGAUCUGCCCUGCACUCUGGGAUAAGCUUGGGAAACUGGGUCUAAUACCGGAUAUGACCACAGUGCGCAUGUGUUGUGGUGGAAAGAUUUAUCGGUGCAGGAUGGGCCCGCGGCCUAUCAGCUUGUUGGUGGGGUAAUGGCCUACCAAGGCGACGACGGGUAGCCGACCUGAGAGGGUGACCGGCCACACUGGGACUGAGACACGGCCCAGACUCCUACGGGAGGCAGCAGUGGGGAAUAUUGCACAAUGGGCGAAGCCUGAUGCAGCGACGCCGCGUGAGGGAUGAAGGCCUUCGGGUGUAAACCUCUUUCGAGCAGGACGAAGCGUGAGUGACGGUACCUGCAGAAGAGCACCGGACUAACGUACGUCGACCGAGACCGAAGCCCGGACGGUUAAUCCGUAGAGUCCGGGACG